RNAcentral lists this ribosomal RNA (474 nucleotides) under uncultured bacterium. Its description in RNAcentral is "bacterial SSU rRNA". It matches the Rfam family "Bacterial small subunit ribosomal RNA", at positions 68 to 535 of the family's 1533-position model. The record is from RNAcentral.
GGUAGCAGGCGUAGCAAUACGUGCUGACGAGCGGCGAACGGGUGAGUAAUGCUUCGGAAUCUUCCUCGUAGUGGGGAAUAACCUGGGGAAACUCAGGCUAAUACCGCAUACGAACUACGGUUGAAAGCAGGGGAUCGCAAGACCUUGCGCUAUGAGAUGAGCCGAAGUCGGAUUAGCUAGUUGGUGGGGUAAAGGCCUACCAAGGCGACGAUCCGUAGCUGGUCUGAGAGGACGACCAGCCACACUGGGACUGAGACACGGCCCAGACUCCUACGGGAGGCAGCAGUGGGGAAUAUUGGACAAUGGGGGCAACCCUGAUCCAGCGACGCCGCGUGUGUGAAGAAGGCCUGCGGGUUGUAAAGCACUUUUAGUGGGGACAAAAAGCUACGGAUUAAUACUCUGUGGUCUUGAUUUAACCCANAGAAAAAGCACCGGCUAACUCUGUGCCAGCWGCCGCGGUAUUACAGAGGGUGC